Molecule: ribosomal RNA, 497 nt
Filed under: uncultured bacterium
Lineage: Bacteria
Description: partial 16S ribosomal RNA
Rfam family: Bacterial small subunit ribosomal RNA
Source: RNAcentral
GAUGAACGCUGGCGGCGUGCCUAAUACAUGCAAGUCGAGCGAACGGACGAGAAGCUUGCUUCUCUGACGUUAGCGGCGGACGGGUGAGUAACACGUGGAUAACCUACCUAUAAGACUGGGAUAACUUCGGGAAACCGUAGCUAAUACCGGAUAAUAUUUUGAACCGCAUGGUUCAAUAGUGAAAGACGGUCUUGCUGUCACUUAUAGAUGGAUCCGCGCUGCAUUAGCUAGUUGGUAAGGUAACGGCUUACCAAGGCAACGAUGCAUAGCCGACCUGAGAGGGGGAUCGGCCACACUGGAACGGAGACACGGUCCAGACUCCUACGAGAGGCAGCAGUAGGGAAUCUUCCGCAAUGGGCGAAAGCCUGACGGAGCAACGCCGCGUGAGUGAUGAAGGUCUUCGGAUCGUAAAACUCUGUUAUUAGGGAAGAACAUAUGUGUAAGUAACUGUGCACAUCUUGACGGUACCUAAUCAGAAAGCCACGGCUAACUACGUG